GAUGAAGAACGCAGCGAAAUGCGAUAAGUAAUGUGAAUUCAGAAUUCAGUGAAUCAUCGAGUCUUUGAACGCACAUUGCGCCCCCUGGUAUUCCGGGGGGCAUGCCUGUCCGAGCGUCAUUGCUGCCCUCAAGCACGGCUUGUGUGUUGGGCCCCCGUCCCCGGUUUCCCCCGGGGACGGGCCCGAAAGGCAGCGGCGGCACCGCGUCCGGUCCUCGAGCGUAUGGGGCUUUGUCACCCGCUCUGUAGGCCCGGCCGGCGCCAGCCGACACCCAACUUUAUUUCUAAGGUUGACCUCGGAUCAGGUAGGGAUACCCGCUGAACUUAAGCAUAUCAAUAAGCGGAGGA
This 347-nucleotide unclassified non-coding RNA is filed under the name soil metagenome. RNAcentral describes it as "partial contains 5.8S ribosomal RNA, internal transcribed spacer 2, and large subunit ribosomal RNA". The stretch from base 1 to 119 matches the Rfam family "5.8S ribosomal RNA", at positions 35 to 154 of the family's 154-position model. The record is from RNAcentral.